This 518-nucleotide ribosomal RNA is filed under the name Pseudoalteromonas sp. UST050418-082. RNAcentral's name for it is "bacterial SSU rRNA". It matches the Rfam family "Bacterial small subunit ribosomal RNA", at positions 394 to 902 of the family's 1533-position model. The record is from RNAcentral. Lineage: Bacteria; Pseudomonadati; Pseudomonadota; Gammaproteobacteria; Alteromonadales; Pseudoalteromonadaceae.
AUGCCGCGUGUGUGAAGAAGGCUUCGGGUUGUAAAGCACUUUCAGUCAGGAGGAAACGGGUGUGAGUUAAUACCUCACAUCUGUGACGUUACUGACAGAAGAAGCACCGGCUAACUCCGUGCCAGCAGCCGCGGUAAUACGGAGGGUGCGAGCGUUAAUCGGAAUUACUGGGCGUAAAGCGUACGCAGGCGGUUUGUUAAGCGAGAUGUGAAAUGCCCCGGGCUCAACCUGGGCAACUGCAUUUCGAACUGGCAAACUAGAGUGUGAUAGAGGGUGGUAGAAUUUCAGGUGUAGCGGUGAAAUGCGUAGAGAUCUGAAGGAAUACCGAUGGCGAAGGCAGCCACCUGGGUCAACACUGACGCUCAUGUACGAAAGCGUGGGGAGCAAACGGGAUUAGAUACCCCGGUAGUCCACGCCGUAAACGAUGUCUACUAGAAGCUCGGAACCUCGGUUCUGUUUUUCAAAGCUAACGCAUUAAGUAGACCGCCUGGGGAGUACGGCCGCAAGGUUAAACACUC